This is a long non-coding RNA of Physeter macrocephalus (sperm whale), 2483 nucleotides long. RefSeq lists it as uncharacterized. The transcript is spliced from 3 exons. Lineage: Eukaryota; Metazoa; Chordata; Mammalia; Artiodactyla; Physeteridae. The record is from RefSeq and is a predicted model, not a curated record.
AGGAGGACUCACUGUCCUUGUGGCAGUGAGUCUGGAAGGUAGACCAGCCCCGAGCCUGGCGCCUUGAGUCUGAAGAGCAUAGAUGUGAUUUAUAAGACAGACUGGGAGCCUUCCCAGGGGGGUGGGACAGGCCCCUCACCCAGUGCCUCAGACCCCUGACUUCAGCCCGAGGUUCAUACCGUCCCAGCCCCAAAUCAUGGAGACCCCAGGACUGGCCUAGCACCCCUACUGCGUCCUCAGCUGUCCCCAGUGAGCGCCCCUAGUGGGCAGAGCCCCCGGGGUCCCCUCUGUCCCACAACCUGUUGGCCACGCAUCUUCAUCACAACCAGCCCUGCCUGCUGCCACCAGACUCAGGACCCACCACCCAGGCCCCAUCCCUCUGGGCCAUGAGGGCUGGCGGCCCACCUGGCCCCCGGCUGUCACUUACAGAUGGACGUCUGGGUUCUGUCUCCCCUUCCGUCUGUCCACUCUCUCGUAGAGCCUCCUGUUCCCACAGCUGCUCCCCCUUCCUCACCACCCUCCUCUCUGCAGACAGCUUGGUUGGGCUGGAGAACAAGCCGUGCUCCCAUUUUGUGGAUGGGAGGCCCCAGACCCUGAGGACUGACACUGUCUCCUGGGGCCCCACUGCUCACAGAGCUCCCCAAGCGCCUGGCCCGUGUGGCUCUCGGCGGGAGCCGGCGUGGCCUCUGUCCCCACUCCGCUGUGCCCUGCGUGCUCCAGCAGCCCCUAAGGGACAAGAGCACACCCAGCAGUCACAAGCCAGGCCUGGUGCUGAGAACUGUACCCGGACCAGGGCUCUCUGUACGGAGGGGGCACCGAGGCAGUGCAAAGCAGCAAGGAAUAGACCUGGCACUCCACCCACGGCCCACCCUCCAUCCAUCCGUGGAUAUUUACUGCUUGUCUAACGUGCCAGGCCCUGGGGAAGAGGAGAGAGCUGAGGUUCCUGCCUCUGCAGCACUCACUGCCUGGUGGGGACGGACAAUGGAGAGGAGUUACGCUAUAGACAGAAAAUGUCACGUUGUACCCUGUGCUGGGAAAGGACACAGCUUCCACACCUUCUCCUCAAGCCUGAGCCAGACCGAGAGCCAGCCGCCUCCAGGGUCAGAUCUGUGCACUGGGAAGAGUUCCUGGGUCUUGGCAACACAGACCACACCCAUCCUAGGCCACCUGAGGGUCCAGGGCAGCUCCUCCCCGGGGAGGCCCCCAGCUUCCCGCAGACAAGAGCCUCUGUCCUGCUGACCCCGGGUCAGGGCAGGGGCAGCGUGCUGGCACAAAGGCUGGGCUCUGCCUGUGCCUCAGGCGGGGGCAGCUGCCCGUGGAGGACCCUCCUGCCACAAUGAGGCCUUUGAGCAGCUGCCAGCAGGAGCUGAGCUCUCCUUGAAGGCCCCCGGCUCUCACAAGCCCUGUCUGUCUGUGAGGCCACCGGGCCAGGCAGGCAGCUGCCGUGGGGGCAGGGCCCACGCCCACCCUGCUGCUGGGCACACCGCCUCCCCAGCCUCCUCUCACCCAGAGGAUGCCUGGCCAGGGCAGGCUGCAGGCCUGAGAGCCCGGUUGGGCCUCAGGGGGUACAGGGGAGGGCUUGCCCACAUCCCUGCCCUGAAGUGACAGUUCCAGGCCUAGCACACAGAACAUGGGAAAAGCCCCUAUCCCUCCCACCCAGGGCUCUCAGGAAGUCACUGCGGGGCUGGGGCUCUGCCUCCAGGCUUCCCUUCCUCUCUUAGCCUCAGUUUUCUCAUCUGUAGAAUGGAGCCUCCAAGUACAUUCCCCACCUCCACCCCCAGAGCAUCUGUGAGAAUCAGAUGAUUCCUGCAUUUAAUUCUCUACCUGGUGCCAGGCAGGCGUGAGGACUCAGGGACUGUCGACCGAAUCAUGACCCCAUCACUACUCCUACCUGGGACCUGGCUUCAAUCCCAGCUCAGCCUGGGUGACCUUGGCCUGGCGACUGAACCUCCCUGCGUCUUUGGCUUCUCCUUUAUAAAAUGGGCUAAUGCGGGAAUUCCCCAGCGGUCCAGCGGUCAGGACUCUUGUGCUUUCACUGCUGAGGGCCCGGGUUCAAUCCUCGGUUGGGGAACUAAGAUCCCACAAGCUCUGCGGCACGGUCAAAAAAAAAAAUUUUUUUUUUAAUAAAAUUAAAUGGGCUAAUGCCAUCCCCUCCCAAGGCUGCUGUAAAGAGAAAGCCAUUUAUCAACACGCCUCAGGCUCAGGAAGCCUUGGUUGGAUGAAUUAAUGGAUCCCAGAUUCGACUCCAGAGAUAAGCAGCACCUUGCAGGGGCCUGGGGAGGGGAAGGAGCAGUGAAGGUGGGUGGAGGUGGGGCAGAUGUGUAAGCGCAGCCACCUACCCCAUCACAGGGAGGCCGGCCAAGUGCUCCAGGGAUGAGAGGCAGGAAGGGCUGGUUCCUGCAGUCGGUCAGGGACGGCUUCACGCAGGAGGCAGCCGUCACCCGAUGUGGGGAUUGAGGGUGGCCUUCUGGACACAAGGAGCA